Arachis duranensis is the source of this 694-nucleotide long non-coding RNA. RefSeq lists it as uncharacterized. The record is from RefSeq and is a predicted model, not a curated record. The transcript has 2 exons. Lineage: Eukaryota; Viridiplantae; Streptophyta; Magnoliopsida; Fabales; Fabaceae.
UUGUGGCUUUUACACUUUCACACACUAUAUCUAUAUUCUCCUCAUUUUUUUUUAUUUGUUUUUCUAUGUGUAUAAAUGAGUCUACUCUAAGUCUCCCACUCAACACAAAACAAUAAUAAAUAAUCUUAUGAUUAUUAGUCAUUACAAUUAGUAAAACAUAGAAAUUAUAGAACUCCAUCAUCAUCAUCAUGAUGUCCAACAAAUUGGUCACCUUCUUCAUCACCUUGGUUCUUCUUCUUAGCUUCAUCAGCUUAAUCCAUGCAUCUCGUCCUAACUUUGCGUCACUCAAUGGAUUCUCUUCAUUAAAUAAGGAUAUUAUUGUUGGUACUAAAGAAGCAAAAAUGGAAGGUUUGGAAGAAUAUGAGAAGAGUUGUGAUGAAGGAACUACUUCUGAUAAUGAAGAAUGCUUGAUGAGAAGGACCCUAGUUGCUCAUACAGAUUAUAUCUACACUCAGAAGCAUCAUCCAAAACCUUAAUUAAAAUAAACUAGAAUCAUCAUAUAUAUCAAUCAAACAAGAAUAAAUGGGAACAAAAAGAAUCCAUAUAUAAAUAUAUAGUUAUUUGUGUGUGUCAUUCAGGUGCAUAUCUAUACAUAUUCGUCUCUUGUUCAUAGAUAAAUAUAUUUUGUUUUGAUUUUCAUUUUCCACAUGUAAUGUAUGUAUGUAUGUAUGUAUUAUUAUUAUUAUUAUUAUUA